GAACAGUUCACAUCCACGUGGGAGGAACCCCGGUGUUCACUUAUGGUCUCGCCCCGGGGCCGUGUUAUCUCUCCUGUCUCCCACCCAUGCGGCUGAAGGGACUGAACCGGGUGGACAUGUUUCACACUGUCACAGCAGUCCGCUGUCUCAGUGGCAUCACGUUAAUGUGACUUGAAGGAACAAGAAGCGGCGAGUGUGCUGGAGGCCUUGUUAGGACGCAUGCUCUCUGCAGGUCUCAGGAGCCCACCACAUCAGCAUCUUCUUAGGGGCUCAGUGGUCCACAGCGCGCUGGGACAUCCUCUGUGACGUGAAGAACAAAUGACCACAUCCCACACCCGCCACACUCGGAAGGAAGAGCUCGACGCUUGGAGGUCUCCUGGGUUCUGAAGCUCCCACGUUCCAUGUCGGGGGUCCUACUCUCUCAUUUACUGGUGAUGUGGAAGGCUGCCAGCUUGGAUUGGGUCCCAGAGGAGGAAAAGACCCUGCAGAAAUCCUAAGCUGUGGUACAAGCGGCCCUUGUGCUUGAGCCAUACAAACGGGCAGAUCUUAUGCCUGUGGUGUUAGAGAUACGUAUGGUGGUAAGACGCUGUAUGGAGUUUAUGAUAAGCCCCGAUAGGAUCCUCACGAUGCGGGUGCUAAGGUUCUGGAGCAAGGCCCUGCCGUCCACAGAGGAGAACUGAAUACUCUUUAUGCAACACCUCCUGGCUUGCUACUGGACCAUGGUGGACAGAGAGAGAGGGCCUAACGUGGGACAUCAGCUGACCACACAGCCAGAAUUGACCCACACGAGCUGGAUUCUAUCUGACCCGCUGGAUCACAAGGUCACGUCCACCCAGCGGCGAUCCCCCAGGAUGUGGAAAUGGCGUCUUGAGAUCAGGAGCAGUCACUCUAAGAAGUCACAGAAACUGCCCUCUGCCCGAGGAAGCUGCCUACCCAGGAUAAUCCAUCCCUCCCAGGGCCACAUCCCUUGACUGCAGAAAGUGAGUGUUUAAAGACCUGGCUUCCUUGCUUCGUCUCCUCGGACAUCUCCAGGGCACCAUCCAAGGCUCAGAGCUUCUCAUGGGAUUGGCCGAGGCCUCUGUCACACUGCAUUGCUAUCUAAUGUCCCUCUCUGUCCAGCCCUGCCACCUCACUUCAUCACACAUGUGGUUGCAUUAAAUUUCAGAUACUCAGAGUCUGUUUCCCAGGGAAGCUGACCUAAGAUGCGA
This 1208-nucleotide long non-coding RNA is filed under the name Equus caballus (horse). Its description in RNAcentral is "lncRNA (ENSECAG00000046623.1)". The record is from RNAcentral. Lineage: Eukaryota; Metazoa; Chordata; Mammalia; Perissodactyla; Equidae.